This 1703-nucleotide unclassified non-coding RNA is filed under the name Hevea brasiliensis (rubber tree). Lineage: Eukaryota; Viridiplantae; Streptophyta; Magnoliopsida; Malpighiales; Euphorbiaceae. The record is from RNAcentral.
AUCAUUCAAGGUGCCUGAUGUCUAUGGGGUUUUCCAGUUUAAGGUCGAGUAUCAGAGGCUUGGAUACACUAGUUUGUCUCUAUCCAAGCAGGUAAGCUCCUUUUAUUGUAAUACUUUUUUUCUCUGCUUUAAUAUUUUAGUAACAUUCCUGCUUAAUAUUUUUGCAUUAGUUGAUGCAAUUAUGAUUUUGCCUGCAAGUUGCUUAUGUUGAGGCCUGAUGAAAAAAAAAUAUAUCUAAACCUUUAUACAGAUUUGCAAUUUUUUCUUAUCCUUUUAAUUUUGUCAAUUUUAGCCUGAUUUGAAAAGUGAGUUGCAAUUUUGUCUUAGGCAAAAUUUGGGAAAAAAAUUCUUAUUAGAAUUUUUUUAUUAGUAUUUUUUUACUUUUGCCACUUUUCUUUCCUCGCCCUCCUCCCUCUUGCUGAGCCCAAUGCUACCGAAUAAUGGAGACCACUUGACUAGUUCCUUUCAUCGUUCUUCAACUGGGGACCACACAUUUUAGAGUAUUGUCUAGUGCCAGUGGUAAUAAUGGGAUUUUGAGUUGUGGAAUUUCUGAUUCUUUGCACAUGCAACGCUAUAUUCCACCUACAGGUGGUGGAAAGAAGUAAAAGUAGAAGAGAAGAGAUGAAAACAGAGAAGCAGCAGCUAAAUUUGAUGAAAAGGAUUUCUAAAGACUUGGAAAAAAUUCUUCUUGUAUGGCAUAUGGUGGAGUUUGGCCGCCAUUUGAUGAGCGAGGUCAAGGGAAAGAUGAUUUCAAGGAGUGAGAACUCUUCUUAUUUAUUUUAUGGUUUACUCUGUAGCUUUGGGCUCAAGAAUAGAGAGGGGGAUGAGGUGGGGGGUAGGAAGGAGAGAGAGGGUAGAGAGUUUGGAAAAGGAAAAGAAAUUUUAAGUUAUUCUUUAUUCUAAUAAGUAAUAAUGAGCACUAAAAUAUACUUCUGAAAUUUCAAUUUUAAUCAAGUGGACAAAAGUGCAAGUAAUUUUUAUAUAAGGUUAAAAUUGAAAAAAAUUACUCUUUUCGUACACCUUCAUUUGUUGCUUUUUAAAAGUUAUUUUAUUUAUAAUUAUUUGUCAUUCUGAGAAGAAUAAACAGUAUUAAUUAUUAACUCCAUCUACUUUUAUUUUCUUUUUAAGUUUUUGUAUGGUGAUUAAAAAAUUAAUUAAAUUACUUAAAUUAUAAUAAAAUGCUCAUUAAUUUGAUUAAAUAGCUCUUUAUCUCACUUAAUUAAAAAAGAAAGAGACAAUGUUAAUAUGAGUUUUAGAAAAUUAUAUAAAUAGUUUUUGUAUUUAAUAGGGAUAAUGCUACUAGCCAAGGGCAGACACAAUAGGAUACAACUAAUUCUUGCAAUGCACAUUUCAUAGCUUUUGAGUAGUAAAUUUCAGUGCCAAACCAAGAAUGAUUCCUAACUUCUACAGGGUCAAUUUUAGGAUUUUACACAGCAUUUGCUAAGGUCAGUUUCUUAAGCAUGGGCUUGAGGAUUUUUUUUAGGUCCUAUUGAUAAGGUCAUUUAUGAUUUGAGUAUGGACUUUAAUUAAUUUUAUCAUUUUGUUACAUUCUAUUGCUUGGAAAAGAUAUGGGCUUCCCAAAAACAGUCCUCUUGAAAGUAAUGUGAAUUAAUAUGAUGAUUAUUGUGGUGGGUGUUGUGGGGACAGUGUCAUCAUCUAAUAUAACUCUGUUGGUCUUAUUUUGCAGAGUGAUUCAUACCAGG